RNAcentral lists this ribosomal RNA (253 nucleotides) under uncultured bacterium. Its description in RNAcentral is "partial 16S ribosomal RNA". It matches the Rfam family "Bacterial small subunit ribosomal RNA", at positions 524 to 776 of the family's 1533-position model. The record is from RNAcentral.
UACGUAGGGGGCAAGCGUUGUCCGGAAUCAUUGGGCGUAAAGAGCGCGUAGGCGGCCCUGUAAGUCCGCUGUGAAAGUCAAGGGCUCAACCCUUGAAUGCCGGUGGAUACUGCAGGGCUAGAGUCCGGAAGAGGCGAGUGGAAUUCCUGGUGUAGCGGUGAAAUGCGCAGAUAUCAGGAGGAACACCGAUUGCGAAGGCAGCUCGCUGGGACGUAACUGACGCUGAGACGCGAAAGCGUGGGGAGCAAACAGG